CCAUUGAAUAGGUGCCCGUUGAGAAGAAGGUGGGGAGAAAGAUUUGGCAUUCAAUAUUCGUCUAAGCAUCCAUGAUUGAUCGGGCUUUGGAAAUCAAUGGCAAACAUAGGUACGCAUUUAUUAUUUUGUAUUCUGAUCUUCUGCAUAUGAUCUUGGAGAAAUCCUUACAAUUGAUAUCAGAGCACAGAUUUUGAAGAGGAUUAGAAUAAAUAAAAAAAUUAUUAAAAAGAAAGGGGGAUGGAUCUCCUCAGACUGUGCCCUCUCCUCUCUUUCUUCUUGCUAGUCAGACCUCUUUCCGAUCGAAUCAAGGUCUGACGACCACCUCGGGAGCCAGCGUUGAGGGAGAUGAUAGUUUAUGACCGGAUCUAAGGAUCUGAUCAAACAAACAUAAAAAUCGUAGAAGAGGAGGGAUGGAUCUUCCCAUGCCCUUCUUCUUCUUCAUUUCUUCUCGCUGGUCGGAUCUCUCUCCGACGGGAUCCUGCUCCGACGGCGAUCCGGAAUAGCCUGCGGUGUUGGAUAGGUGUUUCCAAUCAAGAUCCCAAAUAAAUAAAAAAAAUAAAAAAAGGUGGGCGGUCCUUGCCUGUCGUCGCCCACUUUUCUCGUCUGGCAUGACGUCGCUUGCGACGAUCGAUGCAUCGGCCCCCCUUCUUUUGCACGUGCAGUUGUUCGGGAUGCCACCGCCUGUCGUAACCGAUGGCAAACUUGCAGGCGUCGAGCUUCAAGGGGAUUCGCAAAAAAAAAAGGGGAAGAAUCAGGGCCGUUGGAUCUCUGUUGGCCCACGGUUUCUCCUUAAGUGGCAGCGGCCUUCAAUUGGCCUAUUUACGCCGGUCGCCGGUCGGACCCCCUUUCUUAAUGGGUUUUGGAUUUUGAAUUUUGGGUUUAACUCAAAAUUCAAACCCGAUUUGCUGAUAUUAUGUUUUAUGACACUUUUAUAGUUUUGUCCCUGCUGUGAAAUUUAUUGAAUAAAAUUUUCUAUAUUACUAUUUAGCCCCUCCUGAAGCUUUUAAUUUUAAAAUAAUAUUUCAAAACUUCAGUUUAAUUCUUGAUAAGGUUAAUUUUUGAUGAUAGCCUUCAAAAAUUAAUUUUUUUGAUAUUUUUUUAAUUAUGUGAUGUAAUAUGCUAUUUUUUGAAAUAUUUUUUGUGGCAUAAUAGUUUAAAAAAUUAUUAUGGCAUGUGAUAGACCCUCUGAUAGUAUAUACUUUUUCUGAUUGCACGUAUAUUUUAUAUACUUUCAAUUUUUCUUUAAGAAGUUAAAUAGAUUAAAACCUAAAUUAUUUAUUUGAGUUGUACAAAUUUAUUACUGUGACUUUAGAAUGCAAUAUUAUAUUGUAAUAUGAUUUGUGGGGUAUAUAUUAUUUUGUAUCCCAUUCUGGACUUAAUCAUUUAUAAGCAUACAUGUGGUUAAAGUAUGCCGAAUUAUAUGUAUUUAGGUAUUUAUUUUUCUAUAUGGAUAAUUUUAUGGAUUGGCAUAAAUAUUUAUCAUCAAAAUAAUUUAUUUAUGUCAGUUCAUAAGAUUUUUCACGAUGAGAGGGAUAUUUUUAAGUUAUGGCAUACAAUCACCUGCGCAAAGGGGGUUAUUUUAUAUUUUAACUGAAAAUUGCAUGAAGCAUUGUGUUGUGAGGGUGCUCUAGUUUUUGAGGUCUGUUUGUCCAAAGAGAAUAGGCUUCUGAAUCCAAGGAUAUUUCUUUUUGUGGCUUCAUAUGAACAGCAUUUAUGCAUAUUGCAUAUUCUACCCAAAAGAAAAUUUAUGAUAUUGUGUUUGGGCUUUUGUUUAUUACUUAUAUUAUUUAUGCAUAUGCCCAUUGACUAAUAUUUUGCAUUCCUCCUAUUUGAUUGUACAGUCUCAUUCAGUAUGAAUAAUAAUAAUAUUGUUAUUGAGGUCUUGACUAGAUUAAAUUAUAAGAGGUGGAAGCAAGAUAUGAAAUUUGUUCUUGGGAUUGCUGAUAUUGACCUGGCAUUACGUGACAAUAAACCUGAUGAUCUCAAUGAUCAAAGUAUAUCUAAACAAAAAGAUUAUUUUACUAAAUGAGAAAAAUCUAACAUACUUAGCUUGAUAGCUAUUAAGAGGUAUGUUUUUUAGCAUCUUCUAAGUAGUCUACUAGAGACCAGUAAUACUAAAGAGUUGUUUGAUGCCAUAGGAUAAAGACAUAUUGUAUCUGAGAAAGUUGAAUCUGGAUGCCUAAUGAGAGAACUGAUGAUCAUGAGUUAAUAUAAUAUUGAGGAUAUCAGAAAAUAUAUUCUAAAAAUAGUUCAUCUCCAAACCAAGCUUAAAGAUCUUAAAAUUGAUCUAUCUAAUUCUUUUUUUAUGCCUCAUGCUUUAAAUUCAUUAUCUACUGAGUUCUCUUAGAUCAAAACUACUUAUAAUACUCUGAAUGAAACUUGAAGUAUUAAUGACUUGAUCACCAAAUGUAUUGUUGAGGAAGAGAAACUCAAGAAAGAAAAGAGUGAGAGUGCAUUUUUUUCCAUCCAAUGCAAACUCCAUUCUGGCAAGGGUCCUGUAAAUCAGAAAAAGCGUAAACCUACUACUUCUAAAUAGUCUCAGGGUGCAAAAGGACAUGGUAACAACCCCAAUCAAAAUCAUUCUAUAUAGGAGGACCUAAAGCUGUCAUAGGAAAAAAUAUCAAGUAUUUUCAAUGUAAGAAGAAAGGCCAUAUAAAGAGUCAAUGCUAUAAGUUCAAGUCUUGGAUGGUAAAGAAAGAAAAAUAAGGAGGUAAGCCCCUAGCCCUUGUUUGUUAUGAGUUAAACAUAGUCAAUAUCCCUAUUGAUUUUUGAUGGAUUGAUAGUGGUGCCACAUCUCAUGUUGUAAUUUCUUUGCAGAGGUUCAUAAGCAAGCAGAAACUAAGUCUGAAGAAGACCAGACUGAAAGUAGAAAAUGAUCUUGAGGUUGAAGUUGAAUAUAUAGGAGUUGUCAAGUUAUCUUUAAAAUCUGAUUUUGAGAUUUUUUAAAAAAACAUCUUUUAUGUACUUUUUUUUUAAAGAAAGUUGAUUUCUAUUUCUGCUUUAGAUAGGCUUGGAUUUGAUUUUAAUUUUCAUAAUGAAAAAGUUAAUUUGACAUUUGACUUUCAGAUUGUUGGUUAUGGUAUUUUGAAUGAUGGAUUAUAUAGAUUAUGUUUAGCUUGUAAUAAUCUCUAUACUUCUUUAAAUAUUGAGAACGUAGUUGUAAAGUAUUCUAGAAUCAAAUAUAGAUCCCCUAUGUUGUGGCAUAAAUGCUUAGGACAUAUAUCUAAAGAAAGAAUUGACAAAUUGAUAAAGGAUGACAUUCUAUCUGCCUUAGAUUUUGGGGAGAUGGAGACUUGCAUUGACUGUAUUAGGGGUAAAUUGACUAAGACUAAAAAGAAAGAGGCAAUUCAUAGUUCAAGUCUUUUGAAAAUAAUACACACUAACAUUAGUGGGCCAUAUUCCUCUAUAAUAUAUGGUAAUAAAUACUUCAUAACAUUUAUUGAUAAUUUUUUUUAAAAUAAUUAUCUUUAUUUAAUUAAAAAAAUUAGAUGAUCUUGAAAAAUUUUAAAUUUUUAAAAUUGAAAUUGAAAAAUAAUUAAAAAAAAUCAUCAAGAUUGUGAGAUCUGACCGUGGGGGGUGAGUAUUAUGACAAACAUGAUAUAGCAGAUAGCAUAUGGGUCUGUUUGCCAAGUACUUACAAAAUUAUGGAAUUAUUGUCCAGUACAUCAUGCCUGAUAGCCCUGAGCAGAAUGAUGUGGUCGAAAGGAUAAUCAUACCCUUAAAGAUAUGAUGAGAAACAUAAUAAGUAGGCCUAACUUGUCAGAAUAUCUGUGGGAUGAGGCUUUUAAAAUUGUCUUAUACAUUUUUAAUAAAGUUUUCAAUAAAUCUGUGCCUAAAAUACCUUUCAAAUUUUGGACUGGUAGAAAAUCUAGCUUAAAUCAUUUUUGAGUUUGGGGUGGUUCUGCAGAAGUAAGAAUAUAUAAACUGAUAGAGAAAAAGACUAAUCCUAGAACCAGUCAUUGUUAUUUCAUUGAGUAUCCAAAAUGUGCUAAAGGAUAUGGUUCUAUAGUUCUGGGAGAGGUAAUAGAAUUAUAAAGUCACAGAUUACAAAAUUUCUAAAACUUGAUGCGGCUGAUGUUGAACCUUUCCAGACUGUUGAUAUUAACAGUAGUCAGGUUGAGACUGUCUCUAUUCUUGUGUCUGCAUCAUAUGAAAAUAUUGUUCUUGCACCUAUUGAUAGAGUGGAUAUUCAGACCCCUGAUCCUAUUGUUCCUAUUGAAAAUCUUCAACCAGUUCAACUUAUUAAGGAGGUGCCAUUAAGAAUAUCUAUUAGACAGAGAAGACCUACUAUUCCUGAUGAUUUCUUUAUCUAUCUUGGGAAAAAUGACUAUAACAUUGGACAUAUGGUUGAUCCAGUAACAUAUCAUGCUACCAUGAGCUGUCCUCAAUCUGAUUUAUGAAGAGAUGCUAUGAAAGAGGAAAUGCAGUCUAUGACCAGCAAUGAAGUAUGGGAGCUUGUUGAGCCUCCUAAUAAUUAUAAAUCUAUUGGGUGCAAGUGGGUGUACUAGACUAAGAAAGAUUCUAAAAGAAGAAUUGAGCAUUUCAAGGCUAGAUUGGCUGCCAAAGACUUUAUGCAGAGAGAAGGAAUUGACUACACUAAAAUUUUCUCUCCAGUAUCCCCAAAGAAUUCCUUUAGAAUCAUCAUGGCUAUAGUGACCCAUUAUGACUUGGAGCUUCAUCAAAUGGAUGUUAAAACUACUUUUCUGAAUGAUAAUCUCAGUGAGAAAGUGUAUAUAAAAUAUCCUGAGGGUUUUCAAAAAAAAUGGGAGAGAGCAUUUAGUUUGCAAAUUGAAGAAGUCUAUUGACGGCUUAAAAAGCAUCUUGGCGAUGGUACUUAAAAUUUGAUGAGGUGGUAACCUCUUUUUGACUUUGAGAAAAAUAAGAUUGAUCAGUGCAUCUAUUUCAAAAUCAGUGGGAGCAAGUUUAUCUUUUUUGUUUUAUAUAUUGAUGACAUCUUGCUUGCUAGUAGUGAUUUCGAUUUGCUUAGUGAGACUAAAUAAAUGUUAUCUAGGACUUUUGAUAUGAAAGAUCUUGGAGAGGCAUCUUUUAUCCUAGGUAUUUAAAUUCAUAGAGAUAGAUCACGUCAUUUGUUGGGUUUGUCAUAAAAGUCAUACAUUAACAAAAUUCUUGAAAGAUUUAAUAUGCAAAAUUGCAAACUAUGUGAUACAACUGUUGCCAAGGGUGACAAGUUUAGUAAAGAUCAAUGCCUUAAUAAUGAGCUUAAGAAAAAUUAGAUGAAGAAUAUACCUUAUGUUAGUACUAUAAGGAGUCUGAUGAUGCUUAGGUUUGCACCAGAUCUGAUAUUGUCUUCAUAGUGGGAGUUUUUGGUAGAUAUCUAUCAAACCUAGGCUUCCAACAUUGGAUUGCUGCAAAGAGAGUGAUGAGGAUAUAUUUUUAUAUUGACUGGAGGUACCGUAGCCUGAAGGAGUGUUAAAUAGACUCUGACUACUUUCACUGUACAAGCUGAAUUUAUUGCCUGUUAUGGGGCUACUACUCAAGCUAUUUGGCUGAAAAAUUUUAUUGCAGGGUUGAGGAAUGUUCAUUCUACAAUGGACCAUUGAUAAUCUAUUGUGAUAAUAGAGCUACUGUAUUCUUUACAAAGAAUAAUAAAUCUUCUAAUAGAUCUAAAUAUUUAGAGCUGAAGUAUCUGAUAGUAAGAGACCUUGUGAAAAAAGGGGACGUAACUGUUGAGCAUAUAGAUACAGAGUCCAUGUUGGCUAAUCCUUUGACUAAGGAUUUGAGGCCCAUAUGCUUUAUAAGGCAUGUUGAAAAUAUGGACAUAUUGAGUUCUUUUGAUGUACUUGGUUACUGAGAGUGACUUUGUAUAUAUAUUUAUUAAUAUUUUAUUGUUAUGGAUAUUUUUCAUCUCAUAUUCUUAUGAUGAAUAUUGAUAUAUAUUAUUGACAUGAUAAAUUGAUGAUAUAUUUAUAUUAAUUUUUUUGGUUAUAUAUACAUAUUUGUGUUAAUACACUAGGAGAUAUUUUGUUUAUGUACUUAUUAUAUGAAGUAUAAGAUCAGGUGUCGAGUCUCAGAUAUGUUGUACUGGCUCAUCAUUGACACCAUAUUGAGUAUGUGAGACAGAAUGGCUUGUUGUUGAAGUCAUUAAAAUUUUUCUUACUUCUUAUGUAUCCAAGCAUGUUGAAGAAAAAUUUGAGGACUGACAAUGCAAAUAACAUAUGUUUAGAUCACUUUUAGAUAUUAUUUUCUUACUACACUACCACAACAAGACUUAUGUCGAUAGUGUUAGUGAUGUUCGUAACUAUGGAUAGAUCUUAUAUCAAAAAAAGGAUAUAAUGACUCCUAUGAUUUAGCAUGAUUGACACUAUUGGACCGAGUCAAUUCUAAGAUACUGUCCAUAGAUCAUAUAUUUUUCAAAAAUCGUGGCUACGUACUGUGUUUUCUAUUAUUCAGCCCGAGAGUCAUUUUCAAAAUAAAAUAUUUUUAAAAUUUUAAAAUCAUAAUUAAUGUUGCCCAAGUGGGAGAAUAUGAAAAUUUUUUUGAUUAUAGACUGUCAUUAAUUAUUUAUUCUAUUUUAUUAAAAUGGGCUAAUUAUAUGAUCCGGGUUGAUGGACAUGCAUGUAAGUCCAUUAUUGUCGGUGAUCCAUAUGUUUUGAGCUAUGCGGGCCUUAUGUUGGAUGGUGUGGUUGGGGCGAUAUAAUGUAAGCCUAAACCUAAUUUAAGACCAUGAUGGAAGGGCUUGUUAGAGUUUGUUUUAGAUUUAGUUAGGUCUGCUUUCUAUUUUUUAUAAAUACCUUGAGACUAGUUCUCAGACUUGUCUCAUCGAAUAGUCGCUUGUUGAGAGAAAGUUGGGGAGAAAGAUUUGGUCUUCGAUGUUCGUGUGAGCAUCCGUGAUUGGUCGAGCUUUGGAAAUCAAUGAUGAACACAGAUACGUAUCUAUGAUUUUAUAUUCUAAUCUUUUAUAUAUGAUCUUAAAGAAAUCUCUACAUCCCUGCUCUUGGACAAUCUAAACAUAACAAGAAAACUCAUUUAAUUUUAUCAUUUUAUCUUUUAUAAUUUAUCUUAAGGUCUGCAUCUAAUACACAAGGAUCAAAGGAAUACAUAUGCAUGCUCGUUAUAUAAUAUAAUCCAGUCUCAGUAUAUUCCAGGUUAGAGACUGUUAUCAGCACUUGCCCCAAAGUAGCGGUAGGGCCCUCCACAUCAUUUAGCAAUCCAUCACACAAUGCCUCGUAACACUGGCAUAAUAAUUCAUAAACUACGGGAGCGUUAAGAGGGGAUCUAAACAUAUGCGACCUCCAAAACAAAGGAGGUGCACAGCGGAUGGUCACGUUACCAAGUCAUCCGAUUUGAAGGUCCAUAUGAUACGAAUGUACUUAUUUGUACUCAAAAGGCCUAUUUACGUCCUCUAACUUCGCACCAUCCGAUAUAUCAUAAUUUGGAUCUGGUAAAUUAGGGUGGAGUUAAAUGCCGUCCAAAGUCUGCACACUUUUUCAUCCAUCCUACUAUCAGGUUAAAACUUCCUUACGUUUGGAUGCUUCCUGUUCCUUUUAUCUUCAAAAUACCUUCCAGACGUUUUCUUAUCAGAUUUUAUGGUCAUUGUUGCCGCUCAAAAUCUGAUGUGACAUGUGGACAAGCCAUUUUGCUCAGUUGAGUUGGAUGAUCAUAGCAUGGUGUUGGAAUUGUUCUACAAUCCCAGAAAAAGAUCAGGAAGUCACCGGAACAUGUUUGAUUAAAGAUUCUCCAAAGUUUAAGUAUUCAGACGGAAGAGAGAGAGAGAAAUUUAAGAGUAUGGCAUUCAGAUUUCUUUUCGUACUUAAAGUUCCUACAUUUCAUAUUUAUAAAAGAGACGAUAUGAAACUGCAUAAUUAGGAUCACAAAAUCGAUGAAUGAGUAGUUGAACUCUUUCCAUAUCCACCGGUCGAAAAGAUAAAAAUAUUUUUUUUUGAAUAUAUUAUGAUCGGAUGCUUUUCUUAUUUGCUAAUCUAGCCGGUUACAAUAUUCUUUUUCGGACGUAUUGAGAUUAUAUUAAGCAAUAAAAAGAUCAUGCUAAUUAUUUAGAGAUUUAAUUAGCUAUUAAUUUAGUUGAACAUGUGUCAUCAUUGGGUUGAUGGGUUGAGAUACUAGGUGAGAUUUUAAAGGUGACAAAUCUGACCAAUACCAAUCAUGAUAUAACCUAAGGACCUCAGUUAAUGUCUCCCCUCUAAAUCCAUGUCGCGUUGCCCCACAUUAUUUUUUAGAAAACAAAUGCAAAGAUUUUUCUUUUUUAAUUCCUAUCCAGAUUCGAGGAGCAAGAGUCCUGCUUAACAAAUCGCUCUCCAUAUUCUCUAUUUUAUAGGAGACAAUAGACUCAACAUGACAUUUUCCUAGACUGUCAGGCUUUCUGAAAAUAUAUGUAUAUUUUUUCUUUUUUUGGCAUCCUUGCUUCAUCUCUCAUAUGCAUCACACAUACCAAUGACUAGUUUAUACUUAGAUUGACAUACUCUAUGUAUUUAUACAUCGCCAUAUCUAGUGUACCAAUCUAAUGUGGACUUAGCUUGUCGGACACUUCUAGAAGUGGAAAGAAAAUAUAACCAAGAAGAAGGGUUUAAGGUUAGGCAUCUAAAUAAAGUGAGAGGAGAGGGAAUCAAAAAGGAGAUCAAAGUAUAAUAAAACAUGAACUUACUGUUAGCUCUAAUUUUUCCUCCUUUUAUUUCAUCUCCUAACCAUGAAUUCCAUGAUCUUGCUAAUCAUUUAAAUAAAUUCUUUCCAUGUAGCCCUGGCUUAGACCUUUGUACUUAUUAGAGGUCCUGAGCUCAAUUUUGACAGCAUAUCCAUCAUAAGAAUUCAAAUUUGCAUCUAUGAUCUCAGUACUACUACCAUAGGAGUUUGGAGUUGGGUUUAGGGGCAUGUCCAAGCCUUGAUGAACUCUUAGGGUUGGUGCCCCAAGCAAAGUUGAUUCGGUUAUGAAACUUUGGUACCAAAAUCAACUUAUUUUGGAUGGCUUUGAGCAAGCCGGCAAUUCUAGAUCAAAAAGCUAUCACUGGUCCAUUCCUAUGAAAGAGAUAAGAGGUUAAAAGGGUUAAGAAAACUAAAAUAACAUCUUAAUAGUUGUUAUUUCGAUGAAAAGCAUAAGGAAAAACAUCAAAAGCUAUUAAAAAAGCUUGACAUUAUGUUGAAUCAUGGGAGAAACCACUUGGAAACAUCUGCUCUGAAUCUACUGGACAAAAAAAAAGAAAAAAUCUUUAUCUAUACUUAUAGUAAAAUUUCGUUUUUGUCGCAUAUGUGCCGUUGGGUCAAGAAAGGAUACGUGUUGUGUAAUUAAUAGGGGGUGGGAUCUCACUUUUAUACUCGUUAUUUACUAGAUGCGACUACUUACAGGCUAUAUAAAGUGUAUCCUUUCUCACUUGAAAUUAGCACAUGUAACAAAUGUGAGAGAUAGUAUGCAUGGUUAUAAUCUUCCUUCUAAAUAGAGAUUUUGUAUGAUUCAUAUAACUUAAUUAGCAUAUCGGUAGAAGGUGCACUUCCUUUAUUUGUACAUCUUAAAACUAAACUAAGCAUACAUCUUAUCUAAUGGGAAUAAUUAUAUUGUUUUGUAAUCAUAAUAUUUUAAGACCAAGCUUCUGCAUGCACCUGAUAGUUUGAGUCUAAUAGUAAAAUAGAUAUUUUUUUGCUAAUGUAAGAUUUGUCAUUUCAUUUUGGUUAAGCUGCUUUCCUUUUUACAUGUGUCAUUUUAGUUUCCCCUAUUUUUCUUGAUGAAAUUAUUUCUUGUCUCUACUACUGCCAAAUACUCUACUAUGCGAUGGAAUCGCAACUUAUUAGUAAAUAAAGACUCCUAUGAUCUAUUUUUUAUAUUUGUUGUGCAUCCAAAUGCUUCACAAAACUCACAAUAUUGUUGCUUUGCUUUUACAUUAUUGCUUUGCUUUGCUUUUCCUUUGUACAUUUGAAUUAGGAGUACCUUUUGAUUAAAUCCUCAUUUAUUUUUGAUUGAGGGCUAUUCCUUAUCUAUAUUGCCUCCGUGGAUAUUAAGAUUCAAUUUUUUUCUACUUGAAGCAAAUGAGCCAUCCAUGAUGGACUCAAAGAACGAGGCCCGUAUCCAAGCCCAUGUUGCCACUUUAAGCCUCAAAAAGGGAGGCACAUGAUUUGCAGUUUUGUAGAGCAAAAAUUGCUCACGUAGUAGAAGUUAUUUUUUUUAAUUUUAUAUUUAUAUAAAGAGGGGCACCACUUAUGGUGGUUAUCUCAUCUGAUUGUGAAGAUACAACUCUUGUGUAUGUAGGGAGAAACAAAAGAAAUUGAAAACUCUUCUUCGAUGCCUUAAGUGGGUGUUGCUCUUUUUUUCUCAAAUUAAUUCUAGUGGAGUACACUACAAUUUGAGGAAACUUUAGAUUAUGAAUAUAUGAUUAUGGUUUGUUUUAUGUAAUCAUAAUUGAAACUAUGUGAUACAAUAGGUUGAGUUUUAAGGGUGUUUGCAUGCAACCUUGAAUUUAUUCAUGGUUCAAAAAUCUUACAUUGGUAUCAGAGCCAGGUUAUUCUUUAUCCUAAUCUAAAUAUGAUACAUAACAAGACAUAUGUAUGCUAGAACAAUUAAAAUUGCAUCUGUGAUUUAUUUUUUUUUUAAUUUUGAAAUUUUGAUAAUAUGAUCAUUGGGCCAUGUUUGAGGGUGCCUCUUUGUUUUUGUUACGAAGAUGGAGUGUGCCCCCCUUCUGGAUAAGAUCCAGAAGGGGAUUCUACUUUGUUAGUUACGGUGAAACAGAGGGGCAUGCGUUCUUUCUGGAUAAAUCUUUUUGUUACGAUGAAACAGAAAGAGGUGCGCCCUUUCUGAAGAAGUCUUUUUGUUACGGUGAAACAGAGAGGCAUGCGCCCCUUCCUGAAUAAGCCUUUUUGUUAUAGUGAAACAGAGGGGCUCGCAAAAAAAAAUAUAUAAAAAAAAAAGAGGAGGCUCUUAGAAUUUUGAAUUCAAAAGAGGGGCCAUGGCCCAAUCCAUUUUUGUGAGAUUUUCUACGAGAGAUUUUUUUUCUUAUGAUAUUUUGGUUCCUUCGGGGUUUCGAGAUGGAUUUUUCCAUCAAAAAAAAAUUCCACUAAGAUCCAAAAAAAAAUUAAAAAUAUUGGUGACCUAAAAAUAUUGGUCACUAGAACUAUUUUUUUAUAAUUAUUGUUUAUCAUUUUUUUGUGAAAUAAAAUGGUAUUUCAAUGGAUCUUAUUAAUUUCUAUAUUUAUUACAAAAAAUGGUGCGAGUUAUAAGAACUUCGAAGAAAAUCUUUUCUGCUCAGCAAAGGGAUAGGAUGGAUGGAAUGAUCAAUGAGUUGAUCAGUAUAAAAAUGGAUCCUAUAGACACCAAUAAUGAAUUGGUUCAACUGAUGAACCUCAUCAUUAGAGCACAUGGCUUAAUGCAAAAAAUUAUUUGGGAAGGUAGUCUGGAAACUGAAGUGGAGAAAUAUAGGGCUCUAAGAAUGAUUUUACCAACACCUAGUCAAAAAGGGGUCUUAGAUUCACUUUGGCGUAAGGAGAGUCAGAGAGCUCUUGGAUCCUAUUGAUGCACUAUGAAAAUCUUGAUCCAAGAAUAUAUUAAUUGGGCAGCCAGGAAGAAUUCGUGUUCUUCCUUAGAACUGCCUCUUCGUGAUGGAAAGCGAAGAGCUUUGGUAAAACUAUUGCUGCCGAAAGUGGUUUACGAGUUUUCCAAAGGCCUCUAUGAUGAUCUUGUUAACUCAAUUUUAGUUACUCGGAUUUCAUGUGGAAAUUGAUUAUUAUUUUCUUAUUUUUGCUAUGAAUUGAACUAUGUUAGUUCUGCUAUUAGCUAUUUUUUGUUUAGGAUGUUGAAUAAUAUGUUUUGUGAUUAUAAAUAUUAUGUUAUUUUAUUUUCACAUAUUUGCAUAUUAUUGUUCAAUUUCUAGUUUCUCUUUUUAUUUAUUUAUUUUUUAUGGAAAUUAAAUAUAGAUUCAGGAAAACUCAAUAAAUUUAUUAUUGAAUAAACUUAUUAGGUUCUCAAAUUUAAGUAAUUUAAGAAUAUUACCUUUACAUAAUUAAUUAUGUUACUUUUAUUAUACAUUAGGAUAUUAGAUGAUGAUUGGAAACAUAGUGAACUUUCGAUUCUAAAUCUAAUGUAGAAUAAUUGUUAGCAUAAUUGAUAGUGUUAAGGUAGAUGUAUGUAUGUUAUUAGAUGCUAAUAAAUGUGUAUAAAAUAUCUAUAUACAGAAUAUUAGUGUUCAAAUGGCAUCAGCUACGAAAAAUAUAGUGGCCGAGUUUAACAAAGGUGAAAAAUUUAAUGGCAACAAUUAUGAAAUCUGGAGCAUGAAGAUCUAGUAUGUGCUAGAGGAGCAAAAGGCUCUUGAAGCUCUUAAUCUUAUCAUGGAAGUAUCUAAAACUGGCAACACGGCCCAGCAUAGGAGGGACAGUGAGGUGUAUGAUGUCUGAAGAAAGAAAAAUUCAACUGCUCGCAUCACAUUGCUAAGCAGUAUGGAUGAUGACAUUAUGUAGGAAUUCAGAAAGUAUGACUUUGCGAAGGACAUAAGGUCUGCACUUAAGAAAAAGUUUGGAGGCAUAUCGGUGGCUAAACUUAAAGCUCUCACCGUUAAGUUCGACACUUAUAAAAAGUGUCCUGAACAUGAUAUGAAAAAAUAUCUGAGGGUCACGUCUAACAUGGUGAAUGAGUUGAAGGAUGUCGGCCAUAUCUUAACUGAUUUGCAGCAAGUCCAGGCGGUGAUACACUCUUUACCUAACAGCUGGGAACAUAUGAAAAUGCACCAGACCCACAAUAUCUAUAUUAAGAAUAUGGAGGAUGCUCUGCAUCACCUUGAGCUGGAGGAGGAUUGCCUCCACUUCAACAAGCCAAGUACAGAUGUAUACAUGGCCGAUCCCAGCUUUCAGAGAUGUAAGGGACGCAAGCACAGGAACCAAGGUGGGAACCAACAAGGAAAGGGUAAGGGUGCAGCCAACAAGAAGCCAAAGAAUGAGAAAGAAAAAGAUCCUCUCAAAAGGAAGAAAAAGAACAUUGCAAAGGCCAAAUGUUUCAACUGUGGCAACAAGGGACAUUUUGCUUGUGACUGUACUGAGCCCAAAAAGGUAAAUGGCCUUUUAGCACUUAAGAGUGUAAUAAAUAUUUCUAGUUCUAUUUUGCUAACUGAAUCUAAUCCUUUGUGGACUGUAAACUAAGACGCUACAGUUCAUGUAGCGAAGGAUCGAGAUGCCCUCGUAGAUUUUCGACGACUCCCAUAUGGGGCGAGAUGGAUUUAUAUCAACAAUAACUCCAGAGUUGAGGUGAAGGGGAUUAGCAUAUGCAAGUUAGUCAUGCAUGGCGGUCGGAUUCUAAUCCUGCAUGAUAUUCUGUUUGUUCUAGAAAUUCGUCGGAAUUUGAUUUCUGUUUUAGUACUGUUAAAAUAUGGUUUCACUGUAUAUUUCCAUAGAUGUGGUAUGAAUUUAUAUUUAGAUUCAAGUUUUAUGGUUCUGGAUAUUUUCUAGAUAGUUUCAUUGUGUUGGAUAUUGUUAAUGAUUUCAGUAAUGUAUAUUUUUUCUUAUUUACAUCUUCUGAUGAGUCUUUAAAUGAUGUCAAUGUAUGGCAUGCUGGACUUAGCCACAUAGGUCAACAACGUAUGUAAAGACUAGCCAAAGAGGGCUUACUAGGUGGUAUUAAUAAGGUAGAAUUGUUUACUUGUGAAUAUUGCCUAAUUGAAAAAACGUGUAGAAAAUUAUUUUGAAAGGAAACAAGAGCUGAAUUUCUAUUACAAUUAAUUCAUUCUGACACAUGUGGUCCAAUGAAUGUAAGGGCUAGGCAUGGGGCUGUUUAUUUUAUCACAUUUAUAGAUGACUUUGUUCGAUUCGGUUACGUUUAUUUAAUAUCUCACAAAUCUGAGGCUUUAAGUUACUUCAUAAAAUAUUUGAAUUUAGUUGAGAAUCAAUUAGAUAGAAAAGUAAAGGCUUUAAGAAUUGAUCAAGGAUGAGAGUACUUAUCUGAUCAGUUCAGAGAAUUAUGUGAUGAAAAAGAAAUAGAACGAUAGUUGACUAUUCCACGUACACCGCAACUAAAUGGUGUUGCGGAAAGAUGAAAUAGAACCUUGUUAAAAAUGGUUAGGUCAAUGAUGGCAUAAGCUAAUUUUGCCAAUUACCUAUUGGGGUGAUGCACUAUUAACAGUCACAUUUGUACUUAACCGAGUACCUACCAAAUCUAUCACUUCCAUGCCAUAUGAGUUAUGGACGACAAGCAAAUCAGACUUAGUUUUAUGAAACCUUGAGGUUGUGCUGCAUUUGCCCACGAACCUUCCCAUAAAUUUGAAAAAUUAGGUCCAAGAGAAAAGAAAUGUAUCUUUAUAUGAUACUCAGAACAGUCAUAAGGAUAUAUGUUCAUCGAUGAGCAAGACAAUAGAAGUAUAAUAGAAUUUGAAUCAUGAGAUGUCAUGUUCUUGGAGAACGAUUUUCCAUGAUAGAGUGAGAUAGGUCAAGACUUAUCUCUGUACAAAACUCUUGAUCAGGAUGUUUUCGCUGUAGAAACUCAACCAGAUACACUUUCGAGUGCGAGUAAUUUGAAUAAUGAUAAAUUUAUUUUUUCAAAUUCACAAUUGCACCCUGAAGUGAGUCCAACUGAGGUACCUAGUCCAAGUAGGAGUAACCAAUUCAUUGAAAAGUCAAUGCCACUAUGAUAAACGAGUCAUAAAAGUGUUCCCCAUUGAUGUUUUGAGAUCGAAGGGGAAGCAUUUAUCGUUACUCUUGAUGAAGAGCCAAGGAAUGUUAAUGAGGCUCUUUUAUGUCCUGCUAAGAAAAAAUAGAUUAAGGCAAUGGAAGAGGAAAUAGAGUCUAUAAAAUCGAACUAAAUUUGGGAACUGGUCGAUUUGCCUUUGGGAUGUAAAGCAAUUAAAAAUAAGUGGGUCCUCAAAAUAAAGCAUAAGGCUGACGGCAGUAUCAAGAGAUACAAAGCUCAUCUAGUGGCUAAGGGGUACACACAACAGAAAGAAAUAGAUUAUGAGGAAACUUUUUCACCUGUUGUAAGGUUCACCUCGAUAAGAUUAAUUUUGGCUAUGGUGGCUAACUUGGGUCUUGAACUACAUCAAAUGGAUGUGAAGACUAUUUUUCUCAAUGAAGAAUUGGAGGAAGAAAUCUAUAUGAAACAGCCCAUAGAUUUUGUUAAAGAAGGCCAAGAGCAUAAAGUGUGUAGACUUUUGAAGCCAAUCUAUGAUCUCAAAUAGUCUUCUAGACAAUGAAAUAUAAAAUUUCAUAAUGCAAUCAUGUCGUAUGAUUUUACUAUGAUCAAUGAGGAUCAUUGCGUAUAUACCAAAAGGUCCAAGGAUAAAUUUGUAAUCUUAUAUUUGUAUGUAGAUGACAUACUGAUAGCCGGAAAUGAUAAGGGGUAUAUUAACACUAUCAAAGGAUGGUUAUUAUCUAAUUUUGAGAUAAAAGAUAUGGGCGAAGCUGCAUAUAUCUCUGGAGUUUAAGAUUUCAAGAGAUCGCUCGAAGAAGUUAUUGUCUCUUUCACAAGAGUCGUAUAUUAAGAAGGUUCUAGAGCGAUUCAAUAUGCAAAAUUGUAAACCCAUAGAUACUUCCAUUUUCAAAGGUGAAGCUUUAAGCCGAAGGUUAUGUCCUAAGACUCCACAAGAAAAGGAUCAGAUGAGAAAUGUUUUUUAUGCCAAUGCGGUUGGAAGUCUUAUGUACGCUAUGAUGUGUACUAGACCUGAUAUUUGCUAUGUAGUUGGCAUGGUAAGUAGAUAUCAAUCUGACCCUAGCUAGGCAAGCACAUUGGAAAGUAGUGAAGAUGAUACUAAGGUAUCUUAAGGGCACAACUGAUUACUAAUUGUGUUAUCAAGGAGGUGAUCUGCAAUUGAAAGACUAUACGAAUACUGACUGGGGAGGAGAUCUAGAUGAGAAAAAAUCUAUCUCUGAAUAUAUCUUCUUAAUGAAUGAUGGCGCCAUAUCAUGGAGUAGUAAGAAACAAUCUUGUAUAGUCCUAUCUAAAAUAGAAGCUAAGUUCGUAGCAUUUUCAGCUGCUGUGUAAAAAGCUGUUCGAUUAAAGUAAUUUUUGAUACACUUGGGAGUGUCUAACAGUGCUGUUGAUCCGGUGAUUGUGAAUUGUGAUAGUCAAGCAGUAAUAGCUUAUACGAAGGACCCCAAGUAUCAUGAAAAAACCAAACACAUAGAUAUUAAAUAUAAUUUUGUUAGGGACAUGGUUGCACAUAAAAAAGUGAACAUGAAGUACAUUUCUACUCAUGAAAUGAUAGCAGAUCACAAAACCUAUUGCAAAAGAGGUUUUCCAUAGGCAUGUAAAGUCAUUGGGCUUGCAUAGAUGUUGAUGUACUUAUACUUGAAUUUAUUUUCCAACAUGUUCACAUAAAUAACAUUGUUUGUGGUAAUGUUAUUGAUGCUUAAUUGCAAUUUGUUGCGAAACAUAUAUACACAUUUAUGUUGAGUACAUAAACCAAGUAUUAUGAGAAGUAUGUCGGAUAGAUAUAAAGAUUGGCCUUCUCACAUAGGCAAUCGCCUCCAUGAUCUAAGUGAAAAUUAAGAUGAGACUAUUAUAAGUUUUAUUAUCUAAAUGAUAAUAUUGAGAACUCAAACUUAUAACACGAAAAAUUAUCUCGAGUGAAACAAGAAUAAAGAGUCACAUUAUAUGAUUGAGUCACAUUAUCUGUCUUGAAUGCCAGAUGUGAGUUCCGAUGUGUAAAAACAGAGUAAACUAGGAAACUCAAAGUUAGGCAUUGAGUGUGCUUGAACCAUUGUUUGUACGGUAUCUGAUAUAGAGAUAUACGCUCUAUGGAAAAGGAGAUGAUACGAUAACAUGUGAUUCAUACCACGUGUGCUUGUGUCCAAUAAGAGAAAUACAAAUUAAGAUCUCUACUUGUUAUUAUGUGAGACCCUAAAGAUUAUAAGUAAUCUUUACUUGUACCCUCAUGACUCUGAUCUGUUACUUAAGACUUAGUUUAAUGUUUGCUAUCUUAGGGUGUUGCCAAAGAACUAUGUUAGAUACGGUCUAGCAGGGCAUUCCUAGAAAAGCAGUUAAAUUAAGAUCAAGAGAAUCGGGAGAAAAGAAGGAUCAUUGAGUAUUAUCACAUUGGUUGUAUUCAUUGACUAGUCAAUUAUGUUUAUGAACUCAAAUGCAGUUAAUGAGAUCAGAAGAGAUGUAAAUGUGAUAAAUGUCUAGGGUAUAGCAUACUGCAUCUACUCUAACUCUACCAAUCAAAGAGCUAUAUUAUCUUAACAGAUAUAUAGCACUUGAGCUCUCGAAGUAUGCACUAGCCAUACGGUCCGUUUGUUUAGUAUGAAGGUUGCAGUGAUUGAGAAUGAAAGUUAAUCCCAUCAUGUAUAAGUGAGAGAUGAAGCAAAUGAGCCACCCAUGAUGGACUCAAAGAAUCAGGUCUGUGUCCAAGCCCAUGUUGCCACUUCAAGCCUCAAAAAGAGAGGCACGUGAUUGCAGUUUUGUAGUGGAAGCUUUUUUUUUUUGAACUUCAUAUUUGUAUGGAGAGGGGCACCACUUGUGGUGGUUAUCUCAUCUGAUUGUGAAGAUAUGACUCUGGUAUAUGUAGGGAGAAAUAAGAGAAAUUAAAAACUCUUCUUCGGUGCCUUAAGUGGGAGCUGCUCUUUCUUUCUCAAAUUAAUUUUAGUAGAGUAUACUGCAAUUUGAGGUAAUUUUAGACUGUGAGCAUAUGAUUAUGGUUCAUUUUAUGUAAUCAUAAUUGAGACUAUCUGAUAUAAUAGGUUGAGUUUUAAGGGUGUUUGCAUAUAACCUUGAAUUUAUUCAUGGUUCAAAAAUCUUACACUACCUUUAUACAUUUGAAUGAUAAUCAUCUUUUGAUAAACAACUUAUGUAUUUUUUGUUACAAAACAUUGCAUCACUUGCCUGUAGGGAUGCAAUUAUAAUAAUACAUUUCUAGUAACAUAUUUACAUGGCAAAAUUGAGGCAAAUAUUUAAAAUUUUUAUUUAUUUAUUUUAUAUUUUAUUGAUAAAUUAAAAAUAACUUUAGAUAAGUUUUUUUUCAUAAAAAUUGGUCCCAUCUAUAAGGCCUAAAAAAGUCACUCGUUGGGUACGACAGUAGAUAUGUUGCUGUAAAAGUUUGAGAAACAACCAUCUUAAAAUGCUAAUACAAUACUGGCUAUAUAUCAUUCACCAAGAUGAAUGAGAUGCAUAAUAAUGUAUUUACACCCAUUCUCACAUGAUACAGAAGUGCUUGCAUAAUUUAGGAUCUCACCCAAAAAAAUUAGCUGAAAGAUAUUAUUUAGAUUUUUUGACCCUAUAUAAAUACCAAAAAUCUAUCCAAUGUACAUCUAACAUGGGACUAAACACAAGCCUACAUCGGUUUUUAUAUACUCCCUCCAUUUAAGUUUAGACAUCUUUACAAGGCUAAAAAUCUAAAUCCAAUCAAGUUGUGAUCAACUCCAAUAGGCUCGUGUUAUAAUGUCUCCAAAUCCACAUAAUCCAUAGGCCAUGUCUGCUUUGAUACUAUUUGUGAUGAUUUAAAAUCCCAUCUAAAAAGCUAUCUAGAAGGUAUUAUUUAGAUUUUUUUGAUCCUAUAUAAGUAUCAAAAAUCUAUCCAAUAGAUAGUUGAUGUAGAACUAAAGGCAUGCUCCUAUAUCCUCAUGAACUUUUUUUUAUUUUAAGUCAUGACAUCUUUAUCAGGCUAAAGAUCUAAAUCCAUUCAAAUUCAAUUAUAAGUAGCACAAAUCUAAUUAUAAAUAUUAUGAUUAACUCAUGAUCAGUCCAAAUGAGCCCAUAUUGUUAUGUUCCCUCAUCUCUAUAGAUCAUAGGGAUCUAUUUUAAUAUCUAUUUGUAAUAACAUAGGACUUAACUAAAAAAAACUAGCUAAAAAUUAUUAUUUGGAUUCCUUAAUCCUAUAUAAAUGCUCAAGAUUUACUUAAUACAUAACCAAUAUGAAACUAAACAUACACCCGCAUAGAUUCUUAUGAUAACACUUUUCACAAAAUAAAUAUUAUGUUAUACCAAAGUCAUGUAAUGAUUAGUUUACUUAUUUUUUUGUUUGGAUUGACCAAUUAUUUGUAAAUUGGAUUUGUAUAAGGUAAGAUGAGAAAAUUUAUUUUUGACUUGUUUAUAUGAUUUUAAUAUAAAUUUUCUAAUUUAAGGAAGAUCUUUUGCAAAAGAAUUUGGACUAUUUAAGGAUAAACAAAAAAUAAAUAGAACUAAAAUAUCUUAGAAAAGAUUGAAAGUAAAAGGAAAGCUAGGCUUAUUUAUUCUUAGAAACUAAUUUAUUUAUCUUUUUGAAGUGGGAUAAUAAACUUUUUCUAGAUAACUAUAAAUGAAAAAUCUUAGUGUGCAAAAUAGCACGUACAAUAUUAUAACCGAGCUAUGCACCAUUACAUUAUAGAUAUUCAUCUAAUAUUUGUAGAUAUUCAUCAAACAUUGUGCUAGAAUUCAAUUAUGUCCACAUUGUGAAUGUAUUUUUAAAGAGACUUUCUUCAAAAUAUCCUAGAACUUAGCAUUGCUAACCUUUCCCCCCCUUCUUCUCUCUUAUUGAGAAUAACGUAUAUGGUGGGAGCAUUAUUUUAUAACUAUUUGAGUCAAACACUUGGUAGGCAUCUUUCAAGAUUCGAACUUAAAACUUCCUCCAAAAUGAAAGGCGCUGCAACCCAAGCAAAAAACUAUGAUGUGAUCAUUAUAGGGGAGCACUUGCUAUUGGAUGGUUGCUUUAACUUUCAUGUGCCUUUUAGAGCCUUUCAUUGAACACUUAGCGGGUGUUGGUUGGGAGUAGUUUGAGAUGGAGAAACAAGAUGGUGGAGGAAGCAACAAUAGACAAACCUUAUCGUGCUCCAGCAAUGGGGGGUCGGUCUUGGGUAAAAGUAUUGCGAUGUAGGACCUGUUGUGGCAACCACUAUGGACCUCACAAAAAAUUUUGGAGGAAGAGGUCGAGCAACUUCAAAGGUACUUCACCAAGGUUAUGGAGUUUCUGAAAGUAGAGAUGGAGGAUUCCAAAUGGCAGUAGGAGAAACUCAUCGUGUUGACUCAGAGUCUUAGUCAAAAAGUUCCAACAGAAUGGAUGGUGAAAGAGGUGAAGGAGAAGAGAAUGUUGCAGUAUAACAUUGUGACUUUUUCUUCUUGCUGAGGUUCACUAACUCCUUUGAUUUCAAUCAAAGGAGGACUGUAUGGCAGCUCUCAGGGGUGAUCUGUGGUUAGUAGCGGGCCUAUUGAUAGCCAUGGAAUCUUGAGUAUAUGUUUUGUCCUGGGCAUGAAGAUGAUCUAGUGAACGGUGAUUUGGGUGAGGCUUUUGGGCCUCCUAAUGGAGUUUUGGAGGAACCACAUCAUCCUAGAAAUCAUGGCGGAGGCUGGAAGAUCAAUCAUGAUUGAUGACUUCAUCAAGUAGCUUCGAAUGGCCGGUUAGCAAGCCUUUGAAGCUGGGGGUGUCCAUUAGGGGGAAGGGUGGUGUUUUUUGGCAGCCAUUUAAAUACGAGAGCCUCUCCACUGUUUGCUACCAAUGUAGGCAAUUUGAACAUUCGGACAAAGAUUGUUAGUUCCUUGAAGCCGACCCUACCUUGAAGGGGAACAAUUGUCAGCUCCAACCAGAGAAUGAUAGAGGAGCUAGCGAGAAUCAGGGGUUUCUGGCUCUAAUGGUGGUGAAGGAAAGGGGUGAGCUGAGUUUGGAAGGGGUCGCCACUGAGGCUCUAGUGGUAGGCUACCGAUCGAGGAUCCACAAUUGUGGGUGCCUAAGGUGAGGCUGAAGGUGAGGAAGGAUACAGAGUUGAACCAAGAUUCAUUAGGUCCAACUCAUCCUCCUCUAGGCCCAACUCACCGAGGCAGCAGCCGAGUUCACUGGGUUUGCCCCCUUACUCGGAUGAGUAGCAAAAGCCCAACAAUAUUGCCCGCUAUUGAUUAUGAAGAUAAAUAGCCAGAGGACUCGGAUGAUGGCCAAGUCAAAUCAGGUGAGUUGGAGCCUAGGAUAGGUUCCUCAUUUAGGGCCUCACUAGCAAAUGGCCCAUUGGAGGAUAGCAUGGAUCUGGGUUGGGAUGAUGGUUCGAGCUCAAGGGAACUGGUGAUGGUUGAUAUGGGGAGUCCGAAUUUAAAGUAAGUCAGGAGCCCCCUCAAGGCCCAUCAAGGAAAUAUCUCUGGUGACCCACUAUAGGAGCCCAUCGAGCCUCCGACUACUGUGGCAAAGCCCAGAUCCAAAUCUCUUGAGAAAAAUCAUGAUCGCACUAGGUCAGUGAAGUAGCGAUCUUCCUCAUCAUUGGAGAGGAAGUUGGAGGCACGCCCUUGGCAUGGGGAUUGGGAUCUGCAAUCCGGCCCCAGAGUUUUGAUGUUGGCUAGCAAACAUUGGACCCCCUCGGGUUGCAUGGAGUCUGACUAGGGUUCCAUGGAUUCUAAGACUAUUGGUGAGGUGGCCAGCUAGUAUAAUAACAGUGAUAUCUCCCUUGGGAUGAUGGGCCCUUCGUGGUAGAUGCCGCUACUUCGAUUCUCACCAAAGCUCGACAGGUGUCAAGGGCGAUUCAAGGAAGAGUGGAUGUGGUGGUUUGUGGGCUUGGUUCUGCUAGUGUGCACGAGAUGGGCCAUGUCAAUUUAGGAUGAGAGAUGGGUCGAAGCAAAAAGAAAAGCUUGCUGGGCCAAGCAGUCAAGAGCCAAAUAAUCAUGAGGGGGCCGAGUCUCGGCUUAAGGUGGUCCUAAAAGCCAUGAAGGCUGGUACAAAGCAAGAUGGAAGGGGUUUCAAGCUGGAAAUUAUGGAGGCUCGGGGCUCGGCCUCUCAUUCUAAUUGAUGUCUCUAUGAAAGUCAUGCUAUGGAAUGUGCUAGGAGUGGGCAAACCCGCCUUCUAAUCUGUGUUCAGGAGGUUGAUGAAGUUUCACUGCCUAGACCUAUGUAUUUUCCUGGAGACACACUUGUCUAGGGAGAGUUUAGCUCGUGCCAGGUGCCGCUUCUUGACAUCUUAGGAUUUUUAUGUCAUUGAGUCCCAAGGGUUGGUUGGGGUAUUAUUGUUGCCUAGAGGACUAGCGUAGCCAGCAUUGAUGUGUUUCAUAGAUAUACUCAGCAAAUCAUUAUGAUUAUUUCUAAAAUAAAUAGAGAUCCUUGACUUUUGUCUAAUGUGUAUGCUAGCACAGACUAUAAGAAGCAGAGAGAGCUCUUGUUUGAGGCAUCCAAUAUGAUGGGGCAAGGCAUCCCUACUUUGGUUGUGUAAAACCUUAAUUGUAUUAAUGGGCCCCAGGAGAAAAGAGGGGGGAGGGCUUUUGUGGAUGGGGUAGAGUCCAGAGAGUUUUGGGAGUUUAUUGAGGUGAAUAAGUUGGUGGACCUAGGCUUUAUUAUCACCCAAUUUAUCUGGUUUAACAAAUAUCAUAGAGGGGCUAGGAUGUGGGAAAGGAUUGAUAGAGCAUUCAUGACAGCUAGCUAGAAUCAGCUGCACCCCAGUCAUUAGUCUAUCAUCUUCUAAGGAUUACAUCUGACCACCAUCCAAUGAAGAUCAUGACUCAGGCUCUUAUCUCCUACUAGAGUACCUUUCGAUCCAAGAAGUUUUGGCUCUCCUACCUCCGAUUGUGGGAUAUUUUGCAAAAGGUCAGCAGUUCUUGAUUUGGGGUGAUGCUAGAUAUCAGUUGACUUAGAGAUUAGACCUAACAAGGUGAAGGCAUCUGUGGUAGAAUAAGAUGGAGAUUGAUGAUAUUUUUUAGAGACUAGAGACUAUCGAAGAUGCCAUCACUGAGCUCUAGGAUAUGGAGGACAGAGAGGGUGGGCUGUCUAAUGCUGACUUUGCAGACCUCUACGAGCAACUCAUUGCAUCAUUCAUUGUUGAGGUAGCAGGAGGUUUUUUUUGGAGGCAGAAAUUGAGGGCCUAAUGGCUUAGAGAGGGAGACAAAAGUACCAGAUUCUUCCAUCAGGCUAUGAUCAUCAGAGGCAUCGAAAUCAGAUCCAGGCUAUGAGGGAUAGCAAUGGAUAGUGAUUGGAUAGUGAGGGGAGCAUUAGGCAAGAGAUAGUUACCUUCUUUAAAUCACGAUAGAUGGCAAGCCUAAGGGGUGGUGCUCCUUUCUCUUUCCUGCCCCCCUUAGAUUGUGUCAGUGAGUUAGAGAACAGGCAGCUAAUUAGGUCAGCGUUAGUCGAGAAAGUCCGAAAGGUGUUGUGGUUUAUGGUAGAGGAUAAAGUGCUUGAGCUGGAUGCUUUUACCCUCGCUUCUUCAAGAGAUAUUGGCCCAUUAUUCAGUCUGAGGUGGUGAAGACAGUGAUGGAGUUCUUUGCUAUGGGAGAAAUGUCGGAGUCUUGAAUAAAGAUCUUCAUCACUUUGAUCUCAAAAAGAUAGAUGCAGCUGAGUUGAGCUACUACAGACUAAUCAACUUGUGCACAACUUUAUACAAGAUUUGUGCCGAGCUAAUGGUGGAGAAAAUGAAGUCUAUACUAUCGGUCUGCAAGACCCUCUUGCAAACCAAGGACAGUGAUGAGGGAUUUGUCUGAUAUGUAUAGGAGGGAGCCUACUCAUAAUCUAGAUGGCGCAUGGAUUUGAAGCUGAGGUGUCUGUUCGAGAAUCAGUUUAGUCAUUUGGAAAGUCACUUGAGAUCAUCUUCCUUCGAGAGCUAUCUUAAGAUAUAGGGGCUUGGCCCUCCCAGCAACUUGCCCGUACUGUGCAGUGGGGGAGAAGAGUGUGUGGCACAUGCUGUUUCAGUGCCCGAGAGUAAUAUAGACUUGGUGGUUGACUGGCCUACUCACAGCUACUAUUUUGAUGGAGACUCCAACUCAUAUUAGAAUUAGAGAUUUGGGGCAUGCACGUGUGUUUCAAAAUUUUAUUUUUUAAACACCACAGCAGAAUACAAAAUUAAAAUAUUUUUAAUCUGAAUCAUCCAUGCAUAAAAAUAUAAAACCAUAAGAAUCUAGUUCAUGUACUGAAAUUGACAUAUGUUGAAAUUUAGAUUGUGAUCACAUCGCAUACCUAUUUCGUAAUUUUUUUCUUCAAAUCUGGAUCUAAAAAAGAAAAAAUUUUCUUUUAGCCCCACAAAUAUCUGACCUCUAUGGGUAUCCACUCGGGAUCAGCCUGGAACAGCUCCCUUCAAGUUAAAAAUUUUUUUCUAAGAAAAUUCAGCCUGUUGAAUCUGAACGAAGCUUGGAUCGCGAUCAACACUUGAUCUCUUUUCUUGAUAGUCUUCUUCUUUUAUUCUCUUGCCUUUCUUUCUUACUUUGUGCUACUACCGAACAUCAGGAACCAGCAAAGAGGGGACGCCGAACAGCUUGGGCGUGGAAGAGAAGUGGGAUGCCCAACAAGGUGGGGCGUGUGGGACGCCAAGGGAGAAGAGAAAGAGAGAGGAAGAGAGGGUGUGGGCACUUUCUAUGAGGUAUGUGGGCUGUUGGUUGGAUGCUCUAGGGAUCUUAGGAGAGGUCCCCUUAAAUAGGCAUGAGGAUUGAAUCCUAUUCAAUCUCAUAAUACAAGUCAUACUUGCAUUAGGUUUCCUAAUAACUUAAGUUAUUCAACUAAAAUUAGGAAUCCUAUUAGGCGUCAACUCUUGGAGCCCUUGCACCCAAUUAUUCACACCCUCUUUUACACCCAAGAGAUGCCCCAUAUGAGAUCCAAAAGUCUUCUAAUCAUAGGACAUGCCAACUUGAUCCAAUCAAAGUGGCGCCCCAGAAUAACUAUCAAAAAAAUUAAUUAGGGACUUGCAUCCUAAAUUCAAUUGAUCCAAAAUCUUAGACACCUAACAAUUGAAGUCUAAUGAACCUAAUUCAUUUAGAUUAUUAGCAGAUAAUUAAGUUUAAAUUAUCUUAUCAAAUAAGAAAUCCAAACGAAAAGAGAAAAUUGGAUCCAACCAUGUGCUAGCAAGGUUACCUUGAACCCAAUCGGAUUUCUCCAAACCCAAUUGAUAUUUCAUAAGCUCAAUUACUAAUUUCAGACCUAAUCCCUUUGUUGUAUAACCCCAUACAUUCAAUUCUAUUUAGCAGUGAGAUAUACAAUGAUCUCUAUCAAAGUAUCAUUGAAAUACUUUUCAAUGGGUUGGAACAAUUCUACUCUAACUCAUCAAGGAUUGUCGAUCCAGAACAACCCUAACGAGCUCUCAUAAUCCAUCAGUGACACCUAGUAGUAUGUAGUGGCAAUCCAAUAGAACUGAAAUAAAUCUCUAGGUAUAGUUAACGUGUAAUUCAGUCCCUCUAUCAUGAGUCCCAACUAGAUGGUAGGUCAUGGAUAAAUUAUCAAACCUCAACAUCAAUCAUAUGUUAGAUUUGAUUAGCUCAAGUCUAAUUGUGACUUCUAUGAAAACUCUUUUCCUUCAAUCACACUACUGUAGUCACACAUUCUCGGACUUAGUCUCUCAAAUUUUAUAAGACUACUCCUUUCUACCAAGAUCGAUAGAUCUCAUUUUGAUGCACACCCUACUCCUACAGUGGACUAACUAUCAUCAAUAUCUACUACAAGGGCUGAUUGAGACCCAUAUUUAUAUGUCAAUCAAACUCUAGCAACCUCACUGCGAGUAGCAGUGCCAUCUCAGAUCAAAAGACCAGUCACACAACUACAGCAUCGAGACGAUCACUGACGAUCGAGUAAAAAUUCAAGUGAUCUCUCAUAUGGUCACGCUCGGUACUAGUUGUUCUCUAAUAACUAUCUGUACUCAUCGUCCAGUAUUUCUACACUAUAGACUAGAGAUCCAUCUAUCUCAAAAGAAGCAAUCUGUAUAUUAGUCUAUUCGGAUCGNNNNNNNNNNNNNNNNNNNNAUCACCAUUCUCAUGAUGAUCCUAUGAUCGAGAGUAUUUAAGAAUUAAAUACAUAUCUCUAAUUCUUAACACCUUGAGAAUAUGUAUCGAAAAUUAAUUCCAUGGACGAUUCAAGGACACAGUACACUUGAAUGAAAAAUAAACUUAUUUUUUAUUGAUCAUAUCAAUAUAUUAAGUAUAAAAUUGUGUCCUAGAUUUAUUACAAUGUGUCAGCCAUAUUGACUUCUAGGACAUACAUCUAACAAUCUCCCACUCAGACUAAAGCCAAUUAACCACAAAUCUAAGUCCCAUCUUCUCAAAAUAGACUUUCAUUUUUGGUUAGCUCAACUAUUUUGUCAGCGGAUCUGCCACAUUGUCCACAGAGUCUACUCUUCGCACCUCGACACAUUUUUUUUCGAGAUAGUCACGUAUAAUAUAAUACCGCCGCUCGAUGUACUUUGAUUUUUGAAGAAAUCUCGGCUCCUUAGCAAGUACUAUAGCUCUAUUGUUAUCGUAGUAAAGUAGUAUGGCAUCUGAUGUCAUAACCUCAAGUUUUGCGAUGAACUUGAACAAGAAUCCUUCUUUUGCAGCAUCCGAAGCAGCGACAUCUCAGCCUCCAUGAUCGAAUCCGCUAUGAUGGGUUGCUUGAAACUCUUCCAGCUAACUGCACCAUCAUUGCAAAUGAACACAUAUCCUGAUGUAGAUUUUCUAUUAUCAGGAUCAGACAUGAAGUCUGAGUCAGUAUACCCUUCGAUACGCAAUUCAAAAUCUCCUCUAAAGAUCAAGAACAAAUCCUUAGUCCUUCUCAAGUACUUAAGGAUGUUCUUCACAACUAUCCAGUGCUCCUUGUCUGGAUUCGACUGAUACUUGCUCGUGACACUCACAGCAAGGAUAAUAUCAGGUUGAGUACACAGCAUAGCAUACAUGAGACUUCUUAUUACUGAGGCAUAAAGAAUCCUACUCAUGCACUGAACUUCCUCAGAUGUGAUUGGACACAUCAUCUUGGAAAGAUUAAUACUAUGCCUAAGAGGUAAAAGUUCUCUUUUGAAAUUUUUCAUGCUAAACCUCUUCAGUACUUUUUCUAUGUACAGCUUUUGUGAUAGGCCUAGCAUCUGUUUAGGUCUAUCCCUAUAGAUCUUUAUUCUAAGAAUAUAGGAUGCUUCCCCUAGGUCUUUCAUGGAGAAUUUCUUGGACAACCAUCUUUUGACUAUGAUCAGCAUGAAAAUAUUAUUUUUAAUGAGGAGAAUAUCAUCCACAUACAAUACGAGGAAUAUUAUUGCACUCUUUUCUAUCCACAUAGUUCCUCUUCAUUUUUGAUGAAAUUAAAUGAUUUGAUUGCCUCAUCAAAAUGAUGAUUCCAACUCUAAGAAACUUAUUUUAAUCCGUAUAUGGACCUUUACAGCUUGCAUACUCUGUGAUCACCAUCACCAAAUAUGAAAUCUAUAGGCUGCUUCAUAUAGAUGUCUUUCUCAAGAUAUCCAUUUAGAAAAGCAGUUUUCAUAUCAAUCUGUCAGAUUUCAUAAUCAUAGUAAGCUACAACAGUAAGCAGAGUGCCGAUGGAUUUUAACAUACCUACGGAUGAAAAAAAAUUUUGAUAGUCAAUGCCCUCNNNNNNNNNNNNNNNNNNNNNNNNNNNNNNNNNNNNNNNNNNNNNNNNNNNNNNNNNNNNNNNNNNNNNNNNNNNNNNNNNNNNNNNNNNNNNNNNNNNNNNNNNNNNNNNNNNNNNNNNNNNNNNNNNNNNNNNNNNNNNNNNNNNNNNNNNNNNNNNNNNNNNNNNNNNNNNNNNNNNNNNNNNNNNNNNNNNNNNNNNNNNNNNNNNNNNNNNNNNNNNNNNNNNNNNNNNNNNNNNNNNNNNNNNNNNNNNNNNNNNNNNNNNNNNNNNNNNNNNNNNNNNNNNNNNNNNNNNNNNNNNNNNNNNNNNNNNNNNNNNNNNNNNNNNNNNNNNNNNNNNNNNNNNNNNNNNNNNNNNNNNNNNNNNNNNNNNNNNNNNNNNNNNNNNNNNNNNNNNNNNNNNNNNNNNNNNNNNNNNNNNNNNNNNNNNNNNNNNNNNNNNNNNNNNNNNNNNNNNNNNNNNNNNNNNNNNNNNNNNNNNNNNNNNNNNNNNNNNNNNNNNNNNNNNNNNNNNNNNNNNNNNAGAUCUAUUUACACCCAAUAAGUACAAUACCCUCAGGUUGAUCCACUAAGGUCCAUACUUGGUUCAAAUGCAUCAAGUCAAUUUUUACUUCACAGCAUCUAAUCAUUUUUCGAAAUCGAUGUCAGACAUCACCUCAUCAAAGGUAUUAGGAUCAUCACCAUGAUCCCUAUCUCCUAUAAAGAAUAUUUUCUUUACUUCCUCCAUAAGCAUGCCCAUGUACCUUUCAGAAGGUCGGAAGAUCCUACUAGAUCUACAAGAUGGUAGAGAAACAUCAACUACUGGCUCAUAAAUAAUAGGUUCCUGAGGAUCUAUAACUCUUUACUAUUCAAAGACCUUCUUUUCGAGCUCAAUUAACCUCCUACUGCUACCAUCUUGGAUAAAUUUUUUUCUAAGAAUAUGGCGUUUCGACUCACAAUCACAUUAUGGUCAUGUAGAAAGUAGAAAUAGUAUUUCAUGGAUUCUUUUAGAUAUUCUAUAAAAUAAGCUAUAACAGAUCUAUCCUCUAGUUUAUCAGCCAUCUGUAUCUUGACAUAGACCGGAUAUCUCCAAAUCUUAAGAUAACCUAGACUCGGCUUCUUAUUGAACCAUAUCUCAUACGACGUGGUAGGAAUGGACUUUAAUAGAAUCUUAUUCAACAAGUGAAUAGUGGUUAGCAAGGCAUCUCUCCAAAGAUACAAGGAUAGAUCAGUGAAGCUCAUCAUGGAUUUGAUCAUAUCCAAUAGGAUCUUAUUUCUUCUUUCGGAUAUCUCGUUGAGCUGAAGUAUUUCAGGAGGCAUCCAUUGAGAGACUAUACCGUUAUCCUUAAGAUAUCUCAAAAAUUUAUGACUAAAGUAUUCACCUCCUCGAUCAGAUCGAAGAAUCUUAACGUACUUGCUUGUUUGCUUUGCUACUACAAGUCUAAAUUUUUAGAACCUUUCAAAGACCUCAGACUUGUAUUUCAUCAGAUACACAUAUCCGUACCUAGAUAAAUCAUCAAUAAAGGUAAUGAAGUAGCUAUAACCACCUCUGAUUUACAUAUCAAAUGGCCCAUACACAUCAGUGUGUACCAGGAUAAGUAACUCAGUGGUUCUUUCCCCAUAUCCUACAAAGGAUAAAAGAUUCACAUGCUGGAUAUGUCUCUGGAUUAAGAGAGCCAAGGAUCCUAUCCUUUUUCAGUUUGUUUAUCCUGUCCUCUCCAAUAUGGUCUAGUCAUGGUGCCAUAAGUACUUUUGGUUAAUUUCAUCUUUGGAUCACUAUUGGCCUACGGCACUCACUAUUUGCUCGUUUAAAUUCACAUUCGCAUCAACAUGCAAGUGAUAAAGAUUGUCAAUUAAAAGAUCUCAUGCAACUAAUUUAUUUCAUAAAUAAAUAGAAUAAAAAUCUUUAUUGAAACUAAUUUCAAAAUCUUUCUGUGCUAGCAUAGACACAGAAAUCAAAUUUUGAUUAGCAACAGGGACAUAAUAACGAUCUUUCAAAUCUAAUCUAAAUCCUGAUGGUAAUCGAAGAGGAUAAGUGCCAAUGGUCUCUGCAGUAACUUUUGCUCCUUUGCCGAUCCGAAGGAUCAUAUCACCUUUCUUUAACCUCUUACUUUCUAUUAGAUCCUACAUUGAGGUACAUAUAUGAGCACUUGAGCCAGAGUCUAAUACCCAACUAUAAGUAGAAGAAACUGUAAGGUUAGAUUCAAUUACGAGCAUAUUUUCGGAAGGUUUAUCACCUUUUUUGGUCUUUAGACUCUCCAGAUAUAUUGGAUAGUUCCUCCUCCAGUGGCCUUCAACAUGACAGUGGAAAUAUUUUUUCUUUGCUUCAGCCUUAUUAGAAACUUCCUUCUUUGGUCUGUUCUUCUUUUUCUGCUUCUUAGCAGAUUUAACAUUUUUCUUCCCAGUAGACUUUCUUUUAGAAGAAGUCCACUCCACAGCGAGAACAAUGCCCCUUGAACUCUUCAAGGUUCUCUCUGUAGUGACCAACAUGUUGACUAGUUCGGGUAUAGUGCAGUCAAAUUUGUUCAUAUAAAAAUUUAUAAUAAAUUGACUAUAUGAACUUGUAAGGGAUUGAAGGAUCAAAUCCAUCUAUAAUUUUUUUUGCAGUUUAAACCCAAGCUUUCCAAGCUCCUCAAUGUCCUUGAUCACUGUCAUACAAUGCUCAUGGACAGACUGCCCUUCGCGCAUCUUCAGAUUGAAGAAUCUUUUGGAUACCUCGAAGUAUGCAAUAUGACUCUACUCACUAUACAACUCUUAUAGGUGAGUGAUCAUUGUCCUAGUUGUGGGCAUAUGCUUAUGCUGGCUUUACAACUCGUUUGACAUAGAAGCCAGUAUAUAGUACUUGACCCGACUGUCUUCAUCCAUCCACUUCUCAAAAGCAAUCCUUUGCUCAGCAGUAGGAUGGUUUGGUAACAUUAUGGAUUUCUGAUCGAGUACAUGACGUAACUUUAAAGUCAAGACAAUCCUGAGGUUUCUGAGCCAAUCUUUGUAAUUUAUAUCGGUCAAAUGAUUGGUUUCAAAGAUGUGGACUAGAGGGUUUGAAGUUGACAUUGUUUAACUGCGAAAGUAGAGGUUCAAGUUAGACUUUUAUACUUAAUGUUAUAUUUGCUUUUAGAGACUUUAAGAUACAAAUAAUAACUCUCACUAAUUAAUCAAAUCCCUCCAUUCUCCGGAAAGAAAAUAAAAAUCCUGACACGAUAAAAGAUUCCUAAUGGGUGCUGCAUCCCACCGAUGCCACGCACCUCACCUAACAGUUAUUGGUAACAUACACACCGACGCGUAGGCAACUAUUUAUCCAAUUACUUCUCUAAGCAUAUUGCAGCAAUUUUGUCUCUAAGUCAUAUGGGAUCACCUAACAGUUAUUGUCCAUACUCCUUAGUUAAGUCUGACCCACUGUUCACAAGCAGGUGCAAGACCGUCAUUGGGUCCCUCACCUAACAGUUAUUGGGCCCAACCCCAUCCUUAUCUUGAAGCAACUCUUUGCUAAUGGAGUGGUUGCGUGUUUCCGAUGUAACUGAACCACUGUGAUUAGUUGAGAACAAUCAACAUCGGUAGCAUGUCCGCACAUCUACAAUGGUGGAAGACCUAUGGACUUAAUAUUUAUGGAGAGGUUUAGAUUUAGGUCUCAUUUAAUCAGUCAUCAUAUGAUCGAUCUAAUUGGCAUAGGCUAAACCAAACCGCUAAGCAACCCAAUUCAAGAUCUAAUUUUUCAAAUUGACGAGGUAAGUAGAGAUCUGUGGGGUUCCUCCGUUGCUUUUUUUAGACACCAAUAGAUUGAUCAGAUAAGCGAACAAAAUCAAUUAAAUAACCACAUCUCAAUAACUUGCCUUAGACACCAAUAGGUCAAUUGGUUCAAACAGGUUAGCUCAAGCGAGUCAGGCUCAAACCAUCAAGCCAAAUUAGGUUCUUAGGUUAAUUGAUUCUAUAUAUGGGACUCAAAUAAUUUGAUUAACAAUAAUUGCAUGAUCAUUUAACUUAAUUGAUCUAACCUUAAUCAAUACUUGACUCGGUUUGAUCAAUUAUUUAAUCGAAUUAGACUCAUAUGACUCAAAUUAAAAAUCUUAGAUGCAAUCCUAUUACAUGACCUAAUUUUGAUUUUCCCAUGACCAAAAUCCUCAUGCACAAAUACAAAUUUUAAAUUUUAAAAUUAAAUUUUAGAUCUAAAUUCUUUAUAUAAAAGUAAAUUUUAAAUCAUAAAAAUAAUUUUCAGAUUUAAUAUAUAAACAUAUAUCACAUAUAUGCAUGUAAAAUUCAUAUCUAAAUAAAAUUUAGAUCUAUUACAUGAUAUCAUAUAUCUCAUAUACUAAUCAUGGAACAUAUUAAAAGUAAUUUUAUGACCUUAAUCAUGCAAUUACAUAUCUCAUAUAUGAAUUAUAAAUCAGGUCAUAAAAAAUUUUAGGUUUAUGCAUGCAUCUACAUAUCAUGUGAACAUCAACUAGAAACCGUUCUAGAUCAAAAUUCAGAUCUAUGCAUGCUUUCACAUACCAAUUAUNNNNNNNNNNNNNNNNNNNNAAUUAGAUUUUGAAAUUCUUUUCAAAAUAUGUAUGACAAUUUCAGUAAUAUGAAACCCAUGGCUCUGAUACCAUUAUUAGAAUUCGAGGUUUGAGGUAUGCAUGUGUAUUUCAAGACUUUAUUUUCUAAACACCAUAGCAGAAUACAAGAUUAAAAUACUUUUAAUCUGAAUCAUGCAUGCAUAAAAAUAUAAAACCACAAGGAUCUAGUUCAUGUGCUGAAAUUGACAUAUGUUGAAAUUUAGAUUGUGAUCAAAUCGCAUAUCUGUUUCGCAAUCUCUUUCUUCAAAUCUGGAUCUGAAAAAGAAGAGAUUUUUUUCUAGCUGCAUAAGUAUCCGACCUCUAUGGAUAUCCACUUGGGAUCAGUUUGGAACAGCCCUCUUCAAGUUGAAUUUUCUUCUCUAAGAAAAUUUAGUAUGCUGAAUCUGAACGAAGCCUGGAUCGCGAUCAACACUUGAUCUCUUUUUUUGAUCUUUUUCUUCUCUUUUUUUUAUUUUUUUUUUCAUACUUUGUACUUCUACCAAACAUCAGGAACCAGCAAGGAGAGGAUGCUCAACAGCUUGGGUGUGGAAGAAAAAUGAGAUGCCCAACAAGGUGGGGCGUGUGGGAUGCCAAGGGAGAAGAGAAAGGGAGAGGAAGAGAGGGUGUGGGCACUUCCUAUGGGGUGUGUGAGCUGCUGGUUAGAUGCUCUAGGGAUCUUAAGGGAGGUCCCUUUAAAUAGACAUGAGGAUUGAAUCCUAUUCAAUCUCAUAAUACAAGUCCUACUUGCAUUAGAUUUUCUAAUAACUUAAGUUAUUCAACUUACAUUAGGAAUCCUAUUAGGCGCCAACUCUUGGAGCCCUUGCACCCAAUUAUUCACACCCUCUUUUACACCCAAGGGACGCCCCAUAUGAGAUCCAUAAGUCCUCUAAUCAUAGGACACGUCCAACUUGAUCCAAUCAAGGUGGCGUCUAAAAAUAACUAUCAAAAAAAUUAAUUAGGAACUUGCAUCCUAAAUUCAAUUGAUCCAAAAUCUUAAACACCUAACAAUCGAAGUCCAAUGAAUCUAAUUUAUUUAGGUUAUUAGUAGGUAAUUAAGUUUGAAUUAUCUUAUUAAAUAAGAAAUCCAAACGGAAAGAGAAAAUUAGAUCCAACCAUAUGCUAGCAAGGUUAUCUUGAAUCCAAUCAGAUUUUUCCAAAUCCAAUUGACACUUCAUCAGCUUAAUUACUAAUUCUAGACCUAAUCCCUUUGUUGUAUGACUCCAUAGGUUCAAUUCUAUCUGAUAGUGAGAUAUACAAUGAACUCUAUCAAAGUAUUAUUGAAACUCUUUUCAAUGGGUCAGAACAAUUCUAUUCUAACUCAUCAAAGAUUGUCGAUCCAGAACAACCCUAAUGAGCUCUCACAAUCCAUCAGUAACACCUAGCAGUAGUAGUGGCAACCCAAUAGAACUAAAAUGAAUCUCUAGGUAUAGUUAAUGUGUGAUUCAGUCCUUCUAUCGUGAGUUCCGACUAGAUUGUAGGUCAUGGAUAAAUCGUCAAACCUCAAUAUCAGUCAUAUGUUAGAUUUGAUUAGCUCAAAUCCAGUUGUGACUUGUAUGAAAAUUUUUUUCCAUCAAUUACACUACUGUGGCCACAGAUUCUCAGACUUAGCCUCUUAAAUUUCAUAGGAUUACUCUUUUCUAUCAAGAUCGAUAGGUCCCAUCUUGAUGCACACCCUACUCCUACAGUAGAUCAACUAUUGUCAAUAUCCACUACAAGGGCUCAUUAAGAUCCAUGUUUAUAUGUCAAUCAAACUCCAGCAGCCUUACUGUGAGCAACAGUGCCAUCUCAGGUCAAAGAACCAGUCACACAACUACAGCAUCGAGACGAUCACUAAUGAUCGAGUAGAAAUUCAAGUGAUCUCUCGUAUAGUCAUGCUCGGUAGUAGUUAUUCUCUAACAACUAUCCACACUCGUCAUCUAGUAUCUCUACACUGUGGACUAGAGAUCCAUCUAUCCCAAAAGAAGCGAUCUGUGCGUCAGCCUAUCCAAAUUGAUUACCGUCCUCAUGAUGAUCCUAUGACCGGGAGCAUUUAGGAAGUAAAUACAUAUCUCUAAUUUUCAAUAUUUUAAGAAUAUGUAUCGAAAAUUAAUUCCAUGGAUGAUUCAAGGACACAUCACACUUGAAUGAAAAAUAAACUUAUCUUUUUAUUGAUCAUAUCAAUGUAUUAAGUACAAAAUUGUGUCCUAGAUUUAUUAUAAUGUGUCAGUCAUAUUGGCUUCUAAGACAUACAUCUAACAACUCAGACUUUUCUGAAGUUCCUACAGUGCAGUUCUAGUCCAGAGUGAUCAGCCAGGUUUGUUGAGAUUCGGGUGCCUUACAUAGCUUAUCAUAUCUGGCUCUCCAAGAAUAGCCUGAUGUUCAAGUGAAGGAGAUCUUUUAUGACAUUCAUAGUGAAGAGUGCCCUGACAUAGGUGGUGGAGAUUAUCCAUCCAUCGUUGUCUGAUUUGACCUUGAGGAUUGUGGAUUCCUGGGACUCUCUAUUGGCUCGUUGAGCGAUCCAUAAAAUUUUCAUUUCUUGGGAUCCCCUACCCCCAACCUUCCUUAAGUUCAAUUUUGAUGGCAGCUUGUCAAGCAGGAGUGGAGCUGGGUUUGUGAUCUAUGGCCUGAAUUUGAGACUUGUGGCCAGAAGCAGGAGAUGCCUAUUCAAGAUCAUGGUUCUUGGUGUGGAGUUUUAGGCUACUUAGGUAGGCAUUGCCUAUGCGAGGCUCAUCUUGGGGGGCAAACUGGCUCGUGAUAGAAGGCAACUCUACCAUGGUGGUGGGUUGGAUUCAGUUGCAUGAGAGUAAGGAUGCUGCUCACCUGCUAUUAUGGGAUAUUGCCAUCUUGCUAUAGGAGGUCUCCUCUUUAUGCAUCAAGCAUGUUUACUGAGAGCUAAAAGCUAUAGUAGACUGGAUUGUCUUCUUUGUUGCGAAGUACUCCGGAGACAUGCUUUGGACUGACAUGGGAUCUACACCAGGCACCUUUCGUUAUGUUUUGCUUUUUGACCUUUUUAGUUGUAUUUAUAUGAGGGUUGCGUGAAUGUUCCACCUUAUCAAAAGAAAAAAAAAAAAAAAACUAGCAACCUUUGGGGUGGCAUGAGCUUUGAAUACCUAAUUGAAAGGCCUCAAAAGUUGAUUCAAAAGGUCGGCCAAUUUUUAAACGUCUAAAAAUAUAUUACUGUGCUAGGAGAAUAUAUAAGAGGAAGUUUAGCGAACAAAACUCUUGCAAAAAAACCUUCUUUGCAACAAUAAGUAAAAGAUAUUUUCAUAUAAAACCAGUAAACAAUUUGCAAAAAUUAUUCAUCAAUUUAAAUGUUCCACCGAAAAGCUCUAUACUCACCCUAUCAAUUUCAAGGAUUGGGACUCUGUCGACCAACACCAGUUCAUUGAAAAGGAAGUUCUAUUUUUUUAUUUGGUGAUAAUCCAAUCCUUUAAAGUCAUAGGCUAAGUUACUUUAUGUGGUUCUAAAAUUACUUUAUAUAUAGAUAUUAUCAAUUUAAGCAUCGCUGCUCAGCUAUAAAUGAAUAAAAAAGUAGCUAGAUGUUGGACUUAUAGCCACCUGAAUGUAAUUUUGGGGAAAAAGAAAAGAUGACCAUAAUUUUGGGCUUAGUAAAUCCUAUACAACAAUAACUUAAGAGCAUAGUUACCGAGCUUGCAGUAGCCCGACGACAAUUAGUAAAUUAAGAUACCAACUAUAAAAUAUUAAACAAUUUAAUUAACUAAAGCCUCAUCUAGGAAUUCAUGUGGAGCAUAUGCAACACAAGUAUUUCUUUGAGAGACCAAUAAAACAUAACGUUUUAAAUUAAGUAAUACUUAGGAAUGAAGUCUUCACCCACUUAUUCUGAUUUGCUGAUCAAUGUGGCAACAUGUGAACCAUAGUGGUCUUCGCUGUUUUCUGAAUUUUGGAAGGGAAUUCCAACCUGUCUUGCUGCCUAAUUAGAAACAGUACAUAAAAACCCCACACGAGCAUAAUUCUUUCCUUAAAGCAUGUUAUAUGAAUUCUAGAGAUUUCAAACGCUAAUGUCCAAAGAAAUGCACAAGUACACAAUGUGCUGUUAUGCACUUGCGUUCUGUUUUUUUUUUUUUCCUUGUUACAAUUGAACUACAGUUAUCACAACUUUUUCUUGAAAAGAACGUUUUGUAGAUGUAACAUCGAACGAUAUGACCUAUAUAAUCAAUGAGGAUCCUCUAAGGUUCAGCCCAUGUGCUGCAGAAUAUUGUGCAUCCUUAGACUGCCGCUAUCAAAAGAUGGACGAUCAUCAAACAACAUGAGCAGUAUACGAUGAUGCUGUGCAUGCACCGCACUUUAUGAUGCUGUGCAUGCACCGCAGAAGAUCCCUGCACCUCAAUAAUUGAGCUAAAAGGACAGAUCCUGCAGCAGUAUGGUCUCCAUAUGCAGGCCCCUCAGAAGGUCAGCAUUUCUCUAGGUUCCUUU
This 36033-nucleotide long non-coding RNA is filed under the name Elaeis guineensis (African oil palm). RNAcentral describes it as "long non-coding RNA (EGUI_LNC027448)". Lineage: Eukaryota; Viridiplantae; Streptophyta; Magnoliopsida; Arecales; Arecaceae. The record is from RNAcentral.